This 500-nucleotide ribosomal RNA is filed under the name uncultured bacterium. RNAcentral describes it as "partial 16S ribosomal RNA". It matches the Rfam family "Bacterial small subunit ribosomal RNA", at positions 30 to 523 of the family's 1533-position model. The record is from RNAcentral.
AUUGAACGCUGGCGGAAUGCUUUACACAUGCAAGUCGAACGGCAGCACGGACUUCGGUCUGGUGGCGAGUGGCGAACGGGUGAGUAAUGUAUCGGAACGUGCCCAGUCGUGGGGGAUAACGUAGUGAAAAUUACGCUAAUACCGCAUACGAUCUAUGGAUGAAAGCGGGGGAUCGCAAGACCUCGCGCGAUUGGAGCGGCCGAUAUCAGAUUAGGUAGUUGGUGGGGUAAAGGCCCACCAAGCCAACGAUCUGUAGCUGGUCUGAGAGGACGACCAGACACACUGGAAGUGAGACACGGUCCAGAAUCCUACGGGAGACAGCAGUGGGGAAUUUUGGACAAUGGGCGAAAGCCUGAUCCAGCCAUUCCGCGUGCAGGAUGAAGGCCCUCGGGUUGUAAACUGCUUUUGUACAGAACGAAAAGGUUUCUACUAGUACUAGGAGCUCAUGACGGUACUGUAAGAAUAAGCACCGGCUAACUACGUGCCAGCCGCCGCCGUAA